CCUACGGGAGGCAGCAGUAGGGAAUCUUCGGCAAUGGGGGCAACCCUGACCGAGCAACGCCGCGUGAGUGAAGAAGGUUUUCGGAUCGUAAAGCUCUGUUGUAAGAGAAGAACGAGUGUGAGAGUGGAAAGUUCACACUGUGACGGUAACUUACCAGAAAGGGACGGCUAACUACGUGCCAGCAGCCGCGGUAAUACGUAGGUCCCGAGCGUUGUCCGGAUUUAUUGGGCGUAAAGCGAGCGCAGGCGGUUAGAUAAGUCUGAAGUUAAAGGCUGUGGCUUAACCAUAGUACGCUUUGGAAACUGUUUAACUUGAGUGCAAGAGGGGAGAGUGGAAUUCCAUGUGUAGCGGUGAAAUGCGUAGAUAUAUGGAGGAACACCGGUGGCGAAAGCGGCUCUCUGGCUUGUAACUGACGCUGAGGCUCGAAAGCGUGGGGAGCGAACGGGAUUAGAUACCCUUGUAGUC
This 465-nucleotide ribosomal RNA is filed under the name uncultured Streptococcus sp. Its description in RNAcentral is "bacterial SSU rRNA". It matches the Rfam family "Bacterial small subunit ribosomal RNA", at positions 338 to 795 of the family's 1533-position model. The record is from RNAcentral. Lineage: Bacteria; Bacillati; Bacillota; Bacilli; Lactobacillales; Streptococcaceae.